This 294-nucleotide ribosomal RNA is filed under the name uncultured eukaryote. Its description in RNAcentral is "partial 18S ribosomal RNA". It matches the Rfam family "Eukaryotic small subunit ribosomal RNA", at positions 1470 to 1796 of the family's 1831-position model. The record is from RNAcentral.
UCCUUUGAUACUCUGGGCGGCACGCGCGCUACACUGGUUUAUAUAACGUGUAAUUUGGACGAUAGUCUGUAUAAAUCACUAAUAUAAAACCGUGAAUGGGAUAGUUUAUUGCAACUUACAAACUUUAACUAGGAAUCCCUUGUAGAAGUAGUGAAUUAUACUGCUUCGAAUACGUCCCUGCCGAUUGUACACACCGCCCGUCGUUUCUUCCGACUGGUACUCAUUGUGAAUUGCGAGGAGAUUCUGUCAAAUCGUUGUAAAUGCUGGGUAUUGGAGGAAGAAAAAGUCGUAACA